This 321-nucleotide ribosomal RNA is filed under the name uncultured Pseudomonadota bacterium. RNAcentral describes it as "bacterial SSU rRNA". It matches the Rfam family "Bacterial small subunit ribosomal RNA", at positions 30 to 351 of the family's 1533-position model. The record is from RNAcentral. Lineage: Bacteria; Pseudomonadati; Pseudomonadota.
AUUGAACGCUGGCGGCAUGCCUUACACAUGCAAGUCGAACGGCAGCACGGGAGCAAUCCUGGUGGCGAGUGGCGAACGGGUGAGUAAUAUAUCGGAACGUGCCCAGUCGUGGGGGAUAACGCAGCGAAAGCUGUGCUAAUACCGCAUACGAUCUAUGGAUGAAAGCGGGGGACCGUAAGGCCUCGCGCGAUUGGAGCGGCCGAUGUCAGAUUAGGUAGUUGGUGGGGUAAAGGCUCACCAAGCCAACGAUCUGUAGCUGGUCUGAGAGGACGACCAGCCACACUGGGACUGAGACACGGCCCAGACUACUACGGGAGGCAG